AGUGAACGCUGGCGGUAGGCCUAACACAUGCAAGUCGAACGGCAACACAGUAAGAGCUUGCUCUUACGGGUGGCGAGUGGCGGACGGGUGAGGAAUACAUCGGAAUCUACUUUUUCGUGGGGGAUAACGUAGGGAAACUUACGCUAAUACCGCAUACGACCUACGGGUGAAAGCAGGGGAUCUUCGGACCUUGCGCGAUUGAAUGAGCCGAUGUCGGAUUAGCUAGUUGGCGGGGUAAAGGCCCACCAAGGCGACGAUCCGUAGCUGGUCUGAGAGGAUGAUCAGCCACACUGGAACUGAGACACGGUCCAGACUCCUACGGGAGGCAGCAGUGGGGAAUAUUGGACAAUGGGCGCAAGCCUGAUCCAGCUAUACCGCGUGGGUGAAGAAGGCCUUCGGGUUGUAAAGCCCUUUUGUUGGGAAAGAAAAGCAGCAGGUUAAUACCCCGCUGUUCUGACGGUACCCAAAGAAUAAGCACCGGCUAACUUCGUG
Molecule: ribosomal RNA, 492 nt
Filed under: uncultured bacterium
Lineage: Bacteria
Description: partial 16S ribosomal RNA
Rfam family: Bacterial small subunit ribosomal RNA
Source: RNAcentral